RNA transcript from Papaver somniferum (opium poppy), 4306 nucleotides. It is a transcript of the gene named protein SIEL-like, with no coding region annotated. The transcript has 9 exons. The record is from RefSeq and is a predicted model, not a curated record. NCBI's taxonomy places the organism in Eukaryota, Viridiplantae, Streptophyta, Magnoliopsida, Ranunculales, Papaveraceae.
AAAAGAGCUACGAUAUAAGAUGAAAUCCAACAGUGUUGGCUUCGAUAUAAAUCCGCCCAACACAUUCAGUUAUGGCGCGAAUCCGCUAAAAAAAAUGGGCGAAGAAAUUUGGGAGGAGAUUCAGAAAUCAAAUCUUUCAAUAUCUUCAAUUAGGUCACUAAUCGUAAACCCUUCUACUUCUAAACACAUCAUCUCUGCUGUAUUCAAAACCCUAACUCAGUAUCUACAACAAGAACAAGAACAAACCUUAGAAAAUCAAAAUCAAAAUCAUUACCUCAAACUCCUCUGUGAUAUAGCUACUCAUCAUCGUGACUUCACAAGUAUCGUAUUCGACACGGUGCGCUCUUUCGCUUUCGGUAGUUCUGUUAAUUCGCAAUUUAAAGUUGAAUCUCUAUCAGUUCUUCUCACUAUUGCUGAGCACGAUGAAAAUUUAGUAUAUGCUAUUACUGAAUUUGAUGAGAAUGUUAUAAUUGAGCUUUGUUUUGAUUCAUCUGUGUCUGUUAGGUAUUGGAUUUUUAAGAAUUUGUUUAGAUUUCGGAUUCGAGAUGAAAUUUUACUUCGAGUUUUAUUAGGUUUUGUUAAUGAUCCUUAUCCUUAUGUGAGAAGAAUUUCUUUAGAUGGUUUAGUAAGGUUGAGUAAGUCAGUUGUGGAAUUUAAGAACGGUGGAUUGAUUGCGCAAGGAUAUGAUGGGGCGGUUGAUUUGUUUGUUGAUAGAAAUGAUUGUGUUAGGGCGGCUGCAAUUGGUGUGGUCUGUGAGUGGGGGCAGAUGUUACCGGAUUCUGGUAUGGAAGUUGGUGAGCAGGAUUGGUCGGAUUCGGUGUUUGUUCAGCUGUGUUCCAUGGUAAGAGAUAUGAGUAUGGAAGUACGGAAUGAAGCUUUUGUCUCUCUUGGGAAAAUGAAGAUGGUGUCUGAAGAUAUACUACUGCAGACCUUGUCAAAGAAAGUCCUGGGUAACCUAAAAGAAAGAAAAUUUCCUGGGAAGAGGAACGCGAAAAAUUUGGACCUACCAGCUUCAAAUGCUGCUGAUGCUUUUAUUCAUGGACUUGAGGACGAAUUUUAUGAGGUCAGGAAGUCAGCAUGUUAUUCCUUGGGGAUGCUUAUAGCUUUUUCUGUCAGAUUUGCAAUUGAUGCCUUGGAUUUGUUAAUGGACAUGUUGAAUGACCAUUCUACGGUUGUUCGGUUGCAAACAUUGGAGACAAUGUAUCGUGUGGUGACAUGUGAUCGUCUAAAGGUGCAAGAGGCACACAUGCAUAUGUUUCUUGGUACCCUGGUGGAUGCAAGUAACUUGAUUAGACAUGCAGCCAGAAAGGUCCUCAGUUUACUGGAACUGCCAUUUAUGAAGAUUUUUAAAUCAUCAAUUAAUGGCCUUCUUACCAACUUGACGACUUAUCCUGAGGACGAAGCUGAUAUCUUCUCUGUUUUGUUUUAUAUGGGUAGAAACCAUGGAAGUUUUGCCGUCAGCUUUGUUACAGAAGUGUCUCAAGAGAUAGAACCAUCCUGUGAAGAAGAGCUCAGAUUUGAUAAUCCAAGAGUAGCUGCAAUAUUGGUUUUAGCCAUUCAUGAACGUCUUGCAUGCUCGAUUCCAACAAAAGUAUUUUCAUAUGCAAUUCCUUUUCUUGGAAGAAUUGUUAUUUCUUUAAAAGAUUGUGCGACUCAAGAUGCCCUUUUGGCCUAUUUGUACAAGUUCAGUAAAAUUACACAUGUUCCUGCAUCUGUAGAGGAUGAUCUCUUUCAUGUUGCUGGAGGAAAGCUUCCGCUUCAUAAUAUUGAUGAGAUAUUCAAUCAAGUAUUACCCCUGCAACAAAUUUGUGGUGGAGCCUCUGAAGAUCAAUUUCAAAAUGAUAUGCGAGAUCUAAGGCAAACAACUUUCCCUCUAUCUCAUCAAUGGAAAGUGAUUUUCACGGACGAGGAGGCAGAGAAAAACGUGAAUCUUAUUCUCAGAACAGUAGCUGCUACCUGGCAACUGAUAAAAUCAGGGUUCACAGAUGAAGUACAAAAGACUUCGAGGAGCUGCAGUAAAGAGCUGGCAACAGUAGCUGUGAACUCGAACAGAUCAACUGGUUUGUUGGCCUUUGCGUCUCAAUAUGUUCAGGUAGUCCAACAUAUAGCAGAAAUAUGGAUUCAUUUUCUGCCAUUAAGUAAGUUCCAUUAUCUGAAAACAGGAAUGUUGGAUCAUUUAUUGGAAAAGCUAGAUUAUAAUCUUAGAAAGCUAAGGUACGAGUUUUCAGGGUUGAGUAAAAAAGAAGAACUACAUAUCUUAGAAUUGGUACUUCUUGCUUGUGUUGUGAGGUUGUCCGAAAUGGAGAUCUGUUGUAAUGUUAAUACAUUGAAGAGGGUGCAAUCUACCAUCUCCGUCAUUGAGCUUCUCUGUGAGGACUUGCACAUUCAACUUUCUGAAUUUGCUGGAGAACUGAGAAAGUCAUUGAGUGAAAGGGGAUACAUUGAUGAUGGUGCUUUGAGUCAGCAGUUUUCGUUUAAAAGGUUACUUGAUUUAUUUUCACUUAAAGAAAUGGUGUUUGAUGGAAUGCUAAAACACAUCAAGGCAGAACUCGGUGUACCAGGUAACAACUCAGAAAACCCUCUUUCCUUUGUUUCUGGAUUGCCCGCCGGUGUUACAUUCCAAAUCACAUUAUUCAACAUAUCAGACAAAGACAGAUUGUGUCUGAAGAUGUCUGUACAGGAGGCGGGUCUAUUUCAGUAUGUGUUUCUGGAUAUGAACCAAAUUGGAGGGUAUAACGAGAUCAACAAAGUAACAUUAAGUGUACCAUUUUACAACACCCCUAGAACAGCUUCUUUCGUAUUGAGAGCUUGUGUUAUGAAGGAAUGUCCAUCUGAAGAUGUGGGUCAACGAGCAAGAGGUUCUGGAGGGCCAAAAUGGGAGCGCAUCAUCAUCAGCAAUAUAACCAAAAUUUAUUUGGUUGCAGCCAAAUGUACAACCUGAAGGGUGGAAAAAGAUUUAUUUCACUAAUCUCCAAUAUUCUCUGGCCCAAGAAGAAGUUGUUCAGUGGGAGCUGUCGACAGCAUUUCUUUUCAUGUCAUGGAUUUUUGACAUGUAAAAUGAAAUCAGAGAGCAAAUGCCAUUGAAAAUUUAGGUUGUUGAGGUGCCAGCUCUUAAAGACAACUAUCAGUUGAGAGUCAACUAGAAUGAUGAGAUUUAUCGCACGAUGGGAGAGAGGAUUAUUGGACUUCACUGAGUUCGGAUUCUGAUCGGUUGGCAAAAGAUUUUUCUCAGCUAGGCUUGCAUUUGACUUGCAUUUUCUCAGCUAGGCUUGCAUGUAUUAGUUCAAUGCAUUUACUUCGGAAAAUAGCAAACAACUUCGAUUUACUUCCCAAAAUAUUUUCUACUCAUAUCCAUCUACCUCUACAAGCAGCAGGACUGAGCUUCUCACCUGAUAUUAUCCAAGUUAGCGUUGGCAAAAAUAUCCAUCUACCUCUACAAGCAGCAGGACUGAGCUUCUUACCUGAUAUUAUAAGUUAGCGUUGGCAAAAAUAUGGCAGUCAUGUUCAAGAAGACUGAUUUGAGGUGCUCUUCAACAACCAUGGGUCUUGAAGAAGUCUCCGUAGCAAUAAAAAGGAGGUACAGAGAGAUUGGAGAUUCGAUCUCCUUGCCUUGUACUGAAAUCUUAGUAGUUGAAAUGCACUGCAAGACCAAACCGCAUCAUUUGCCUCCAAAUCCGAUCCUUUUCAUAAAAGCAAUAAGAAAAUCCCACUGGUAUUGGACAUCCAGUUUGAGUGCAAGAUAAAUCCCCCUUAUUCUUUUUUUAUAGUAGUAUGGUAGUAUAAUCUUAUGUACAAGAAAAAUAAUAUCAGAACACGCUUAUAGUUGUUGCGUAUCAGAACACGCUUAUAGUUGUUGCGUCAUAGAAAUCCGCAUGUUUUGACAUUCCGAGAAAAUUUUGAUGCUCGAGGAAUGUCAUAAGACGGGAUGUUUUGCCAGGAUAUUUAAUGGCAGCUUUUGCCAGCAAGGUAAGCCGGGAGGCUGGUUAAAUUUUGGGUCACAGACUCCAAUCGGUUCAUGGUAGUUUUUAACAGCUAGACGGUUAGCUAAAAUCACCGUCACCACCCAAACCCCCGUCACCACCAAUAGACUAUCACCUAUUGUAUGAAUAAUUAAAAUACACCCAUAAAAAUAAGCACACAAGCCAAACAAGUAAAGACGUUGGCAAUCUACGCUUUAAGCUUAGCACCAUAAGAUGUUCUGGUUGUUAUCAAUCCUGACUGACGACUUGGUGAAAUAAAAUCCUACCCUCUAGCUUUCUUACUAAAAAAGAGGAAAAGAAGGUAAGAGGAAAAGAAGGUAUCCGAA